Molecule: non-coding RNA, 85 nt
Organism: Ceratotherium simum simum (southern white rhinoceros)
Lineage: Eukaryota; Metazoa; Chordata; Mammalia; Perissodactyla; Rhinocerotidae
Source: RefSeq, a predicted model, not a curated record
GAUUCACCUCAGGAAUACAUGGGUGAUUCAACAUAAGGAAAUCAAUUGAUACAAUAUACCACAUUAAUAGAAAUAGAACAGAGGG